This 492-nucleotide ribosomal RNA is filed under the name uncultured bacterium. RNAcentral describes it as "partial 16S ribosomal RNA". It matches the Rfam family "Bacterial small subunit ribosomal RNA", at positions 30 to 507 of the family's 1533-position model. The record is from RNAcentral.
AGUGAACGCUGGCGGUAGGCCUAACACAUGCAAGUCGAACGGCAGCACAGUAAUAGCUUGCUAUUACGGGGGGGGAGUGGCGGAUAAGUGGGGGAUAAUUCGGAAUCUACUUUUUCGUGGGGGAGAAAAUAGGGGAACUUACGCUAAUACGGCACACGACCUACGGGUGGAAGCAGGGGAUCUUCGGACGUUGCGUGAUUGAAUGGCCUGAUGGCGGGUUGGCUAGUUGGCGGGGUAAAAGGCCACCAAGGCGACGAUGGGCAGCCGGUGUGAGCGGAUGAUCCGCGACUGUGGAACUGAGAGACGGUCCAGACUCCGACGGGAGGCAGCAGUGGGGAAUAGUGGAAAAUGGGCGCAAGACUGAUCCAGCCAUACCGCGUGGGUGAAGAAGGCCUUCGGGUUGUAAAGCCCUUUUGGUGGGAAAGAAAAGUAGCAGGUUAAUACCCCGCUGUUCUGACGGUACCCAAAUAAUAAGCACCGGCUAACUUCGUG